UACGUAGGGGGCAAGCGUUGUCCGGAUUUAUUGGGCGUAAAAGGCUUGUAGGUGGCCACGCCAAGUCGGAUGUGAAAUCUCCCGGCUCAACUGGGAGGGGUCAUUCGAUACUGGCGGGCUCGAGGCCGGUAGGGGGAAGUGGAAUUCCCGGUGUAGUGGUGAAAUGCGUAGAGAUCGGGAGGAACACCAGUGGCGAAGGCGGCCCCCUGGGCCACGCCUGACGCUGAGACGCGAAAGCGUGGGGAGCAAACAGG
Molecule: ribosomal RNA, 254 nt
Filed under: uncultured bacterium
Lineage: Bacteria
Description: partial 16S ribosomal RNA
Rfam family: Bacterial small subunit ribosomal RNA
Source: RNAcentral